RNAcentral lists this ribosomal RNA (403 nucleotides) under uncultured bacterium. RNAcentral describes it as "partial 16S ribosomal RNA". It matches the Rfam family "Bacterial small subunit ribosomal RNA", at positions 30 to 526 of the family's 1533-position model. The record is from RNAcentral.
AUUGAACGCUGGCGGCAGGCCUAACACAUGCAAGUCGAACGAGCGGCGGACGGGUGAGUAAUGUAUGGGGACUGCCCGAUAGAGGGGGAUAACUAAUGGAAACGGUGGCUAAUAACGCAUACUAUCGGAUAACCCAUAUGGGAUUAGCUGGUGGGUGGGGUAAAGGCUCACCUAGGCGACGAUCUCUAGCUGGUCUGAGAGGAUGAUCAGCCACACUGGGACUGAGACACGGCCCAGACUCCUACGGGGGCAGCAUUGGGGAAUAUUGCACAAUGGGUGCAAGCCUGCUGCAGCCAUGCCGCGUGUAUGAAGAAGGCCUUAGGGUUGUAAAGUACUUUCAGCGGGGAGGCGUUACCCGCAGAAUAAGCACCGGCUAACUCCGUGCCAGCAGCCGCGGUAAUAC